RNAcentral lists this ribosomal RNA (1286 nucleotides) under uncultured Ralstonia sp. Its description in RNAcentral is "bacterial SSU rRNA". It matches the Rfam family "Bacterial small subunit ribosomal RNA", at positions 70 to 1353 of the family's 1533-position model. The record is from RNAcentral. Lineage: Bacteria; Pseudomonadati; Pseudomonadota; Betaproteobacteria; Burkholderiales; Burkholderiaceae.
AUGAUCUAGCUUGCUAGAUUGAUGGCGAGUGGCGAACGGGUGAGUAAUACAUCGGAACGUGCCCUGUAGUGGGGGAUAACUAGUCGAAAGAUUAGCUAAUACCGCAUACGACCUGAGGGUGAAAGUGGGGGACCGCAAGGCCUCAUGCUAUAGGAGCGGCCGAUGUCUGAUUAGCUAGUUGGUGAGGUAAAGGCUCACCAAGGCGACGAUCAGUAGCUGGUCUGAGAGGACGAUCAGCCACACUGGGACUGAGACACGGCCCAGACUCCUACGGGAGGCAGCAGUGGGGAAUUUUGGACAAUGGGGGCAACCCUGAUCCAGCAAUGCCGCGUGUGUGAAGAAGGCCUUCGGGUUGUAAAGCACUUUUGUCCGGAAAGAAAUCGCACUUACUAAUAUUAGGUGUGGAUGACGGUACCGGAAGAAUAAGGACCGGCUAACUACGUGCCAGCAGCCGCGGUAAUACGUAGGGUCCAAGCGUUAAUCGGAAUUACUGGGCGUAAAGCGUGCGCAGGCGGUUGUGCAAGACCGAUGUGAAAUCCCCGGGCUUAACCUGGGAAUUGCAUUGGUGACUGCACGGCUAGAGUGUGUCAGAGGGGGGUAGAAUUCCACGUGUAGCAGUGAAAUGCGUAGAGAUGUGGAGGAAUACCGAUGGCGAAGGCAGCCCCCUGGGAUAACACUGACGCUCAUGCACGAAAGCGUGGGGAGCAAACAGGAUUAGAUACCCUGGUAGUCCACGCCCUAAACGAUGUCAACUAGUUGUUGGGGAUUCAUUUCCUUAGUAACGUAGCUAACGCGUGAAGUUGACCGCCUGGGGAGUACGGUCGCAAGAUUAAAACUCAAAGGAAUUGACGGGGACCCGCACAAGCGGUGGAUGAUGUGGAUUAAUUNCGAUGCANCGCGAAAAANCUUACCUACCCUUGACAUGCCACUAACGAAGCAGAGAUGCAUUAGGUGCUCGAAAGAGAAAGUGGACACAGGUGCUGCAUGGCUGUCGUCAGCUCGUGUCGUGAGAUGUUGGGUUAAGUCCCGCAACGAGCGCAACCCUUGUCUCUAGUUGCUACGAAAGGGCACUCUAGAGAGACUGCCGGUGACAAACCGGAGGAAGGUGGGGAUGACGUCAAGUCCUCAUGGCCCUUAUGGGUAGGGCUUCACACGUCAUACAAUGGUGCAUACAGAGGGUUGCCAAGCCGCGAGGUGGAGCUAAUCCCAGAAAAUGCAUCGUAGUCCGGAUCGUAGUCUGUAACUCGACUACGUGAAGCUGGAAUCGCUAGUAAUCGCGGAUCAGC